UUGAAUUAGAAUUUAUGAAUCAUUAAACGAAUAACACAUGAUUUCAAUACAUAUUUUAAAAUCACAGAACCAAUAACACUAGAUAUAGUUUGGAUUUUCAAAUCCAUCAAAAUACACCAACCAAUAACCGGGGAAAAAUGCCUUUUUCGACGCCAACUAUUUCCAUCGUGCCUUUUCAUACCCAGAUUAAACAUUGGUGCGAAAACAUACCUGAACGAAGUUUUUCUUUAAAUUUCCAACCCAAACUUCGAUCCGUAUCAUUAAAACCUACCAUGACCAACUUACCGUUAGUCUAACGUUAAAUCUUGCAUAAUCGGAUAAUAUGUGGCAUUUAAUUUAUUCAAACACAAGAACAAAACGACGUCAUUUGAUUCAUUAAUCAAAACGACGUCGUUUUGAAUUGUGGCAAAAUUAAAAUUAAAAACCCCUAGCUCCUUCUUCUUCUUCGACUUACGCUCUCGAGUCUCUCUCUCUGUUAGAUAAGAACACGAAAAUCCCAGAAGCUUGAAGAUCCUAAGGGGUUCUGCGAUCCGAAGGUCUUUCACGACGAGUUUGCGAGUGUUGGAUCAUCGAAAGGAGUUAGCUACUGGAAAAAUGAGGUAAUUUAUUUCCUCAGAAAAUGUUUAGAUUGCUGAUUGUUAGUGAUUGGAAACCAAAAUUGGUUUCGUUUCUUGACGUUUUGUGCUUUUCUUUUGCAGAAUGUUCGAGAUUGUAACAUUUAAUGUUAGUUUCGGUGGAUAAUGGGUGAAGAAAAGAAGCGGCGAUGUUGGCUAUAUUGGUAGAGAUGUGAAAACAAUUGAAUGCAAACCAGAGGAGUUGUUCAUAUCUUUAUUAGAUGAGUUUGGGGAGGGAUUAUAUGUCCAGAGGUUGUGGUACACGCUUCCUUUUGAGAAUCACAAGGAUAGAAAGAAACUGAGCUAUGUUAGAGAUGAUGAUUUCAGAACGAUGUGUAAAGCGGGUGAGUGGAAAGGAGUUGUUAAUUUGUUCCUAGUGAACUCAGUAGAUCAUCUCGACAAAGAGCAGGUUCAGGAACUCCGCGAAGAAGAGAUCCGAGUAGAAAGAAAUGUUGAUGGCUUUGUUGAUGAAGAUGAAGAUUUUGACUAUCAUAACACGCCUCCCAAUUCUGAUGGUGAGGAAGAGGAGGAUAUGCUGAGGUUCAAACCAGGGAGUGGUCACCUAGAGCUAAGGAAAGUGUUUGACACAAUUGAAGAUUUCAAAGAUGCAUUAGUUGAGUAUGCUUUGAAGGGAGGGUGGAACAUUAAGCAGAAUAAAUGGGGGAAAAUUAAAUGUGGGGCUGUGUGUGGGUCUAAAGACCAGUGCUAAUGGAGAACUCUAUUGCUCUUAUGAAGAGAGAUAUGGGAAGUGGAUGGUGAAGACAUAUGAAGAUAAGCACAAAUGCCAAAAGGACGGGUCUUGUAAGAUCCUAAAGUCGGGUGUGAUUUUGAAGCUCUUCAUGGAGGAGAUUAGGAGUGAUGUUGAGUUGAAGCCUAAGUAUAUGCAAGGGCAGAUUGAGCAAAGGUUCAACUUGAUAACCACGAUUGACAAGUGUAAGAAGGCGAAGAAUAAGGCUAUAACCAUCAUCAACCGUGAGCAUGAAGAGCAGUUUAGUAGGCUAAGAGACUAUCGACUUGCGAUUCUAGAGUGAGUUAAAAAAAAUUGUUAGUUGCUCUGUUUUUAGUAAUUUAACUAACAUUUUCAUUUGUAUUUUGUAGUACCAAUCCAGGAUCAACUGUGGAACUAGACACGGUCUUAGAUGAUGAUGGAGCUGAAGUGUUUCACAGAUUCUAUGUGUGCUUUGCAACCAUCCGAUCCUUGUGGAGUAUGUGGUGUCGGCCCAUCUUUGGAUUAGAUGGUUGCUUCCUCAAAUGCACAUUAAAAGGUCAGCUCUUGGCAGCUGUAGGAAGAGAUGCAAAUAACGGAAUGUACCCAAUUGCUUGGGCCGUUGUCGAUGUAGAGAAUGAGGAUAAUUGGACAUGGUUUCUACAGAAACUGCAGAGUGAUUUUAACCUACAAAAAGGUCAAAAUUACACCAUAAUAUCCGAUAGACAAAAGGUAUUACUUGGUUUGGAUGAGUUAGAAUUUUAUUAUCUUUGUUUGAGCUCUGAUUUUUGUUUGUUUUACAUCAUCCAGGGCUUAGUAAAGGCUGUCGAGAUGAUUUUACCAGACGUUGAACACAGGAUGUGUGCUCGCCACAUAUAUGGUUUUUUGGAUCUGUUUUUCCUAGAAGCAUGAACCGUGAAGGUGGUUUUUGAUGGAAACAUGGAUCAUGAAGGCUGUUGUGGUUGCAUAUUUGUCUCUUUUGUUGCUAUGUUGCUUUGUUAAGACUUAUGUAUUCUCAGCUUUGUUGCUUUGUUAUGACUCUUUUGUUGCUUUGUAAUGAUACUUUUGGUGAUUCAAGCAUGGUUUUAUGACACUUUUGGUGAUUCAAAAUGACAACAACAUACUCUUUUAGUGACUCAAAACGACAACAACAAACUCUUGAUUAAAAACGACAACAACAAACCAUCACAAUGUCAUUACAAAACACCAUCAUUGUUCAUACAACAUUAGAUCAGACAAGUCAAUUUCACUACAACAAACCAUACAUAAGCUUCAUAAGGUUCUUAUUACAUCAUCAAUACAUGAACGUGAAGAAGAAAAGCAUGACCAAAGCAAACACUACCAUGUUCUUUAAGCUUCGGAGUUGCAUUUUACACUCUCGGAUCUCCUUCUCAACAACAACUUCACAAACCCGAGUUUUCAUUGUCAAUGUUUCGAUCUCGACUUCACAAGUGUUCACUCCUUUUUGCAAUGUGAUCGAAGCUCCUUCAAGGUUAUCAACUUUGUCAAUCAAGUCUUCAAGCUCUUCAUACAUACUCACAUCAGUCCAUUUAAAAGUAUGAUACCAAUCCUGUAACAUAACAAUAUUGAUUCUCAUACAGGAAGGGGAAGCAUCAAACAAUCUACAUAUUGACACUUACCCCAUCUCUUCCAAAAGGACAAGAAUGAAACAAUCUACCCGGAUUCUUCACAGUUUUUGAUGUAUUCAUUACUACAGCUUCUCCACAACGACAUAUCUUAGGAAUUCCUCUUCCUCGCUCACCCAUUUCUCCCAACUGUAAAAUUCAUCAAUUUUAACUCAAAUCACAGAUUUCAUCAUAUAUUAGCUAACUAAACAAACUUUUCUUACAUAACACAAGCUAUGGAAGACUUACAUUGACGAAAGCCCUUAGAAUCUUAAAGCUUCUGGGAUUUUCGUGUUCUUAUCUAACACAGAGAGAGAGACUCGAGAGCGUAAGUCGAAGAAGAAGAAGGAGCUAGGGUUUUUUAAUUUUAAUUUUGCCCCAAUUCAAAACGACGUCGUUUUGUUCUUGUGUUUGAAUAAAUUAAAUGCCACGUAUUAUCCGAUUAUGCAAGAUUUAACGUUAGACUAACGGUAAGUUGGUCAGGGUAGGUUUUAAUGAUACGGAUCGAAGUUUGGGUUGAAAACUUAAAGAAAAACUUCGUUCAGGUAUGUUUUCGUACCAAUGUUUAAUCUGGGUAUGAAAAGACACGAUGAAAAUAGUUGGGGUCGAAAAAGGCACUUUUCCCCCAAUAACCCCCACCAAAUUAAAGAAUGGAUUAUAAAUAAAAAUUAAUAUAUUGAUUUUGUAAACGAUAAUUAUUAUUUUUAACAAGUAUUUACGUCUAGCGGUUUUACUUACAAUAUGUUUUUUUAAUCUCUGGCAGUUUUGCUUACAUCAUAUUAAAUCAUGGGAAUUUGGCAAAAAGACAACUAUAUUGUUGUCCUCUUAAAUUUAAAACCAAAAUCAAUGUCUCUAUGGUAUAAACAAUAAUAAAAAUCUAGUUUUAUCCUUUUUUUAAAACACAGUUAAUAAAAUUAAAAUUUUACUUUAAUGAAAUAAAAAAUAAAAAGUAAAAACUAAGAAGUAAAAAAAAAGAAAUAGAACCCUACCGUGGUCUCCUACUCUUCUUCUCAAAGAGGCGAUUUCGUUUUUACCGUCAGACUCCUUCUUUCUCUGGCCCAUUUAAGUUUGCCGGAAAGCUUCAACUCAUCGUCACAUCUCUCUGUCGUCCUCCUUCUUUUGUCUUUCCUCUUUGAAAAGACGACCACAUUUGUUUUCAUGGUUGAUGCCUCUGAUCCACACCAGUUUGUUAUCUAGGCAAGUUAAAACCUUCGUAGUUAUUGUUUGUGUUUAUGUAAAUCGAAACACAUUUGGUAUCAGAUUGGAUUAGCCUUGACUAAAAACCACUACCUAUAUACUUGUCAGGAGCUUAUGAUGACGAGGAGACUACUGCUAGAGCUUACGACCUUGCUGCCUUGAAAUAUUGGGGACCUGGAACACUUAUCAGUUUUCAGGUGAGGUUACAAUGAUAGUGUCUUUUGUUCUGAAUUUAUCUUUGUUCUAUAUAGAGGAGUUGUUGUGGCCGAAGAGAUUAGUGGUGGUGCAAUGAAAAAAAUGGUGGUCAAGGCGAUGUGGUGGUCGUUGGAUUCACGUCACACAGCUUGAGGUUGGAUGAAGAAGAUCUCUGAGAUCCAGUGAGGAGGUGGAUUCACGGUUGAAGGGUCGAGACGACUAAGAAGAUACACCAUCGUUCCAGCUUUCUUAUUUGCUAUUCUCGAUACAAUUUUGAGUCCCCAUGAACUCUGAAGGCGAGUCGCCCUUUUCUUUUAUUAUUCUCUUUAUUGUUAAGUCAUUUAUAUAUGUGAUGAGGCUUGUGUUUUGUGGUUCUGUCUCUGGUUAGAGGAGAUUGGCUUUUAUUUCAACAUGAGGUACUUUGAAGAUAUGGUAACAGUUGGUGAAUUUGGACGAUGUUGAGAAGGUGGUGGUCGUGAGCAAGAGGUGGUGGCCGUGAAGAUUAGGUUUAGAUUUUUUUUUGUUUAGUGUAAACAAUUUUUUUCGUUUAGUUUGAUAAACCAUCAUAAUUUUGUAAAAAAUUUUGAUUUAUAAAAAUAUUUUACAUUUA
Long non-coding RNA from Brassica napus (rape), 4947 nucleotides. RefSeq lists it as uncharacterized. NCBI's taxonomy places the organism in Eukaryota, Viridiplantae, Streptophyta, Magnoliopsida, Brassicales, Brassicaceae. The record is from RefSeq and is a predicted model, not a curated record. The transcript has 2 exons.